RNAcentral lists this small RNA (78 nucleotides) under Flavobacterium sp. 9. RNAcentral describes it as "Flavo-1 RNA". It matches the Rfam family "Flavo-1 RNA". The record is from RNAcentral. Lineage: Bacteria; Pseudomonadati; Bacteroidota; Flavobacteriia; Flavobacteriales; Flavobacteriaceae.
GCCUAGCCCUGAUAGAAGUGAAAAUCCUUUUGUGCCGGGGUUCGGCACAAAAGAUUGAAACGGAUAGCAGGAAAUAGC